CGCGGAGUCCCGGGAACGCGGGGGAGGUGGCCGUGCAGUUUCUGGCACUAACUCGGGCGUCCUCCCGAAGCCUUAGUUCCGCCGCGAGUAACGGUCCGUGGGAAUUAACAACCUUCGCCCCAGGGAAGGUGGGCCGGUCGCCAAUUUCAGCAGCUCCCUCUUCGCCCAGGGGCCCCAGCCUUCUUCCCUCACGCGCAUCCCCUCAAGGGAGUGACGAGCUAGGCCUUCGCUCGGCCCUGCACCUUGGGGCUCUCCCCACGCCUUCAAGGUCCAGGCGACAGGGCUGCUCGCUGAUGCUUAUCAUUUUUAUUCUUAUUUUGAGCCUCCAGGCCCUAGACCCGAGCCUCUGGAGAGCGGGCAGCCCUCUGGGGGGUUCGUCGUCGCUCCCCCCCGCUUCCCGCGGGGCCGAGGCUCGCCGCAGGGAGGGGGCGUCCGCCGGGAGACGAGGAGGGGCUGGGCGGAGACAGCGGCCGUGCGCCCGCCCUCGCCCCCUGCCGGCCGGCGCGGCGCUCCGCACGUCCGCCGCGGGGGCGGCGCGGCGCGGCUUCUGGAAGGUGCUGAGGAGGCGCGGUUUUUCCAGAGCAAGAUGGUGCUGAAAACCAGCUGUUGACGUGGCUCGGGAAAGCGCCCGCUAAGCAAGGAGAGCGUCCUGGAGGAAGCUCGCCCUGGCCCGGGACCUGGGAGGAGUGCGCUAAAUGCAGUGGAUGCGUUCAGCCUGACCGUUGAUUUAUCCCCGCGCAGCAGAUCCACUCACGUUGCACUGAGGCUGUCGACAUAUUUUAGUGUUCCAGAACUAGAAGGGGAAGUGAAAUAAUCUUGGCACUUUGAAGUGAUUUGAGCGCUGAGCAGCACCUGUGAAGGGUUGCGUUUACGCAGCGUGUGGAGAGGUGGAUACCUGCUUGUUUUCUUAUCCCGGAAACCUCUGUCCCUAACGGGUGACGUCUGCGGGGUGAGGGCCGGGCAGCACUGUGAAGUGCGCACUCACACUGUUUCUCCCUCCUCUUGCACUUCUCUCUACGAGAGAAUUGAAUCAUUGUUAAAGUCUAAGUGACUGGUAAAACUGUAGCCACUCCUGGGAGAUUUUGCAUUUUUAGAGUUUUCCAAACCAUAAUCCGCAGCAGUGGUGGAAACCAUCUCAUAAACCAACCAAGAUGUAGGGGAGCUGUUUUGGGGGCAGGUUGUGAGUUCACCAGAGCCGUCUGGAACCGCAAGUCUAGGUAGUCACGUAUUGUAAGUCUGACGCUGGUCGUUUCUUAUUGCCUUAGUUUUCUUACCUCUAAAAAUGAGUAGCACCACUCAGUGCCCACCCACCCCUAGAUCUAAAAUGAAAGUAAAUGUAAUCUUGAUGGGAUGGCUUCAACAGAGGGAUACUCUCUUGGUAUCCGGUACCUUGGUGCAGCGGAAGUUUGAAGAAAGUCCGGCCCAUUUUAUGGGUUGAAUCCACUCAGUUCUUGAUUCCCG
RNAcentral lists this long non-coding RNA (1461 nucleotides) under Equus caballus (horse). RNAcentral's name for it is "lncRNA (ENSECAG00000051713.1)". The record is from RNAcentral. Lineage: Eukaryota; Metazoa; Chordata; Mammalia; Perissodactyla; Equidae.